This 332-nucleotide ribosomal RNA is filed under the name uncultured bacterium. RNAcentral's name for it is "bacterial SSU rRNA". It matches the Rfam family "Bacterial small subunit ribosomal RNA", at positions 568 to 898 of the family's 1533-position model. The record is from RNAcentral.
CGUGUAGGCGGACUCAGAAGUCGGGUGUGAAAGCCCUGGGCUUAACCCAGGAAGUGCGCUCGAAACCAUGAGUCUUGAGGUCCGGAGGGGAUCGGGGAAUUCCUGGUGUAGAGGUGAAAUUCGUAGAUAUCAGGAGGAACACCGGCGGCGAAGGCGCCGAUCUGGACGGAUUCUGACGCUGAGACGCGAAAGCGUGGGUAGCAAACAGGAUUAGAUACCCUGGUAGUCCACGCCGUAAACGAUGUGCACUAGGUGUCGGGGGAAUUGACCCCCUCGGUGCCGACGCUAACGCAUUAAGUGCACCGCCUGGGAAGUACGGCCGCAAGGUUGAA